CAGCAGUGAGGAAUAUUGGUCAAUAGCCUAACGGCUGAACCAGCAACUUGGAGGAAUGUAUAGCGAAAGCUGGUUGGAUUAACUAUUAGUUAGUACAACAUCGACUAUGUCGAAUAAAGUUCUAGGUAGAGUUAUGAUAAUGACAUUUUCUAUCUAUGUGUCUUGACCAAAUCACGUGCCAGCAGUCGCGGUAAUACGUGGGAGACUAGUGUUAUUCAUCUUUAAUUGGUUUAAAGGGUACUUAGACGGUCCAUUAAGCCCCUAAAGGGUACUAGUAGACUAGAGUUUGAUGAGAGGGGGGGAGUACUAAAGAGUGUAGAGAUGAAAUUCUGUCAUACCUGUCUUGAAACAGGCAACAGCGAAAGCAACCCCUUAUGUAAAAACUGACGUUGAAGGACGAAGGA
This 404-nucleotide ribosomal RNA is filed under the name Xylographa bjoerkii. RNAcentral describes it as "SSU rRNA". It matches the Rfam family "Bacterial small subunit ribosomal RNA", at positions 349 to 760 of the family's 1533-position model. The record is from RNAcentral. Lineage: Eukaryota; Fungi; Ascomycota; Lecanoromycetes; Baeomycetales; Xylographaceae.